UAAACACAGCUUCCACUUGGACUACCCAUUUCCCAUAAAGUCCAAUAUCUACAGGGAGAUCUAGAGAGGUGGAGAUGCAUACAUUAGUCAGAUGUCUACGUUAUGGGGGUAGUGGUCAAAAUAGUAAUCUCUUAAUCUCUCAUUAUGAAUUUGACAGCGUAUUUAAGAGGCGGUAUCACCAUAAGUGAGGACAGACUGCUCCUCUACAAACACUGACGUCUGCAACAGUUUGCGCCAAAAUAUGCUGCCAUAAAAUUACCACAGUUGUCGUCACUCAGGUACGUUUUAGGGUAAGUAAAUAGCCCAUAGCAACUUAUUCUCUAAACAUAACCACCGGAGCAGCUUCUGUUUCAGUGUUAGAUUACUUCAGCGCAUGCGUGACCUAUUGACGAGACUCCUGUGGGCGUGGCAGACUGCACAAUAUAAAAUUUUUGUACAAUAUAUGUAGUUAUAUAAUAUACCAUAUUACAUAUAUAUAUAUUACAUACGCUCUUUUGAGACUUCUUGUGUGUUAACCGUGAUUAUAUUCUGAGUUCAGGUGUGUUUUUGGAACCAGCAUACUUCAAGUAAGCAAGGUUUGGAUUAGUCAACCGAGAGUUCAGGGUAUAUGUUAAGACUCUGGCAGGUGGUAGUGACAGUUGCUCUGUGGUCAAGAAGCUUCUUCUUUCUGCGACGAUGGGGGAGACAGAGGCAUGCUUAUUUUCACCUGUUGCUCCUGCUGGGACCUGGAUUAAACACUGGCUGUCCACACACUUCAGGCCUAAACACUCACUGGAGGAAGGUUCCCAAAGUGAGCGCUGCUCAUCUCACCCAUUUUGCACCAGAAAGAGUCUUGUGGUGGCCCUUCUGGUCAUUUUGGCCUUGGUUGUCAUGAUGCUGCUUCUACUGCUGAAUUAUUAUUGUAUUAUGGUCUGGCACCUGUGUAAACAUGAAGAGUCUGUUCUCCCAGUAUUUCAAAACACUACGCCAGAGCUGGACUGGCAGGACUGAGAUGUUACACAUUUGAUUGUUUUUGUUUUAAUAUUUGGUGCACCCAUCUGGGAUGCAUUUAUGUUUUAUGCUGCUGUGUUUUUUGUUUGAUGAACUGAAAUAACACUCAAAAUCUCCAUUGUGAGAUUUUUCAGUGGAUGUGUGAUUUUAAAAUGAAAUUAUUUACACUGUCAGGUUACUCAGUUGACCUUUUAGUUUUGUAUUUAUUCAAAUGACUUCCUAGGUUUACCAUUACAUGGUCUUGAAAAUUGUAUUGUAAAUUUUAAUUUGCAGAGUCACUGUAUUUAUCCAUCUAUUUUAAAUAGUUGAACUUUAUCUAGUGAAGCUUGAAAUGUAGUUAAAUACUGUUCAUAAAAGCAGUUAUUGUUCAAGCUUUCCAAGUAUUUCUAGGUAAAUGUUUUCAUUUCUCUUUUUAAGCUAAUACAAACUCAUAUCACUCAGUCAUAUUACUCAGUACAUGUUUUUAUUGAACUGACUGUAUUGUAAACACUAAAUCAAAAACACAACCUUUGCCAUAUAUUUGAAACCUUGUUCAAUUUAAGUUCUAAGAAUUUUUAAGAUGACAUUUGGCCUUAAUUUAGUAAUUCUGUUUUGUCAUAAAAUAAGCAUUACUGCUCCAUUCAUUACUGAUCCAAUUCAAGUGCACAGUAACUGAUUAUGGAUGAUGUCACACAUUUCUUCAUUUCUUUUCCCCACAGUCCUCCCUUUUCCACACCAAAAGGGAAGUUCCUAUCACAUGCAGAAUAGUGCAUUGCGGAAACAAAGUAGUCCUGUUAAUACAAAGCGCCUCUGCUCUUGGCAGGAAUUAUUAUAUUCAGAGCAUGCUGUCUGUGUCAUUACACCUACAAGAAUGACUCUAGAUUCUAGUCAGCUGCACCAGUGGACACACCUUUAGGAGUCACAUUUUAAAAAGAUAACAGAAGAAGAUUUUUGGAAUGUUUGGAACACUCCCUUAUUCUACAAAAAGGUCAUAAUUAGUGCAGGACAUAUUGUGGUUCUACUAACAAUAUAUUCUUCAGCAAUUAUUAUUAAAACAACAGCUAUUCUACAUCUGUCUGUAUUUCUAAAUCGUCUUUAUAGCAAUAAAACAUUUUAAACCAUUUGUAUUUCUUAUUAUUCUAAAGAAACUCUUUACGCAAACUCAAGCUGAAGCAGUAAAUUCUUGGAGAAUUUUAUUAUCAUCAUUUACUGUACAGACUGUAAAAUAAAUGGUUCUACUGUUACUGUUUUUGUCAGAGGGGCUUCUGUGUACAGGAGAAGUCUGUACUCUUGUGAAGGAACAGGGCAGGGGGAAGGGUUGCUCUUGGUCCUUCACUAUCAUUUUCACUAGGCAAACCCCAACUUUACUGAUGGAUAAACUGUUUGUUAAGUUUGUUGUCUCAGUGGCACUCUUUCUGUUUGGAAUCGUGUCUAUUCUACUCCUGACUGUAUCUAUACAUGAAAUAAAAGAGCCACCGGAGUACAUGGUA
Cyprinus carpio (common carp) is the source of this 2459-nucleotide long non-coding RNA. RefSeq lists it as uncharacterized. Lineage: Eukaryota; Metazoa; Chordata; Actinopteri; Cypriniformes; Cyprinidae. The transcript is spliced from 3 exons. The record is from RefSeq and is a predicted model, not a curated record.